UACGGAGGGUGCAAGCGUUACCCGGAAUCACUGGGCGUAAAGGGCGUGUAGGCGGGUCGGCACGUCGGUCGCUGAAAUCCCCCGGCUCAACCGGGGAAGUGGCGCCGAUACGGCCGGCCUGGAGGGGGGUAGGGGGGCCUGGAACUUCCGGUGGAGCGGUGAAAUGCGUUGAGAUCGGAAGGAACGCCCGUGGCGAAAGCGAGGCCCUGGACCCCAUCUGACGCUGAGACGCGAAAGCCAGGGGAGCGAACGGG
This 254-nucleotide ribosomal RNA is filed under the name uncultured bacterium. Its description in RNAcentral is "partial 16S ribosomal RNA". It matches the Rfam family "Bacterial small subunit ribosomal RNA", at positions 524 to 776 of the family's 1533-position model. The record is from RNAcentral.